Molecule: non-coding RNA, 298 nt
Organism: Ceratotherium simum simum (southern white rhinoceros)
Lineage: Eukaryota; Metazoa; Chordata; Mammalia; Perissodactyla; Rhinocerotidae
Source: RefSeq, a predicted model, not a curated record
CCCUGGUGGUCUAGUGGUUAUGAUUGGGUGCUCUCAACACCACAGCUGGGGUUCUUUUCCUGCUCAGGGAACCACAGCACCCGUCUGUUUGUUGUCAUAUUCAGGCAGCUGAGUGUUGCUGUGUUGCUGAAAGCUAGGCCACUGGGAUUUCAAACAUCAGUGGGGUCACCCAUGGUGGACAGCUUUCAGUGGAGCGUCCAGACUAGGAAGAUGGACCUGGCCACCCACUUCUGAAAAAACUGGUCAUGAAAAUCCUGUGACUAGCAGCAACAGAGCAUUGUCUGAUACAGCGCGGGAA